UACGUAGGGACCAAGCGUUGUCCGGAAUCAUUGGGCGUAAAGAGCGUGUAGGCGGCUUGUUAAGUCUUGCGUGAAAUCUCGGGGCUCAACCCCGAGCGGUCGUGAGAAACUGGCAGGCUAGAGUGCGGGAGAGGAGAGUGGAAUUCCCGGUGUAGUGGUGAUAUGCGUAGAUAUCGGGAGGAACACCUGUGGCGAAGGCGGCUUUCUGGGCCUUACCUGACGCUGAGACGCGAAAGCGUGGGGAGCGAACCGG
Molecule: ribosomal RNA, 253 nt
Filed under: uncultured bacterium
Lineage: Bacteria
Description: partial 16S ribosomal RNA
Rfam family: Bacterial small subunit ribosomal RNA
Source: RNAcentral